GAGGAGCGUGUGUCUCGACACAGGGAUCACCGUCAUCACGGAAGCGAGAGGUACCAAGAAAGCUCGGGAAGAGAAGGAGUGAGAGACAGACAUCGAGAAAGAAGACACAGAGACAGGAAUGAACAACACAGAUCCUCACGCAGUGGGAGCAGUAGGAGGCGUCAUGAUAGUGAUGACGCAGAUAGCCACAGGAGACACAGGCACAAACGCUCUAAACACAACCGAGGAAGCCUUGAGCCCAGCGAGGAGUGCAAUGUGGACCAGGAGAACCAGUCAGAGGCCACAGAAUAACUCCCUGGCCAGCUGUGUACCUGGGUAGCUGGAGCCAGGACACCCAGAGGGGGGAGUAGUCAUCAUUAGGCGGGAGUAGUUUG
Sinocyclocheilus anshuiensis is the source of this 374-nucleotide long non-coding RNA. RefSeq lists it as uncharacterized. The record is from RefSeq and is a predicted model, not a curated record. The transcript has 3 exons. NCBI's taxonomy places the organism in Eukaryota, Metazoa, Chordata, Actinopteri, Cypriniformes, Cyprinidae.